RNAcentral lists this ribosomal RNA (417 nucleotides) under uncultured bacterium. Its description in RNAcentral is "bacterial SSU rRNA". It matches the Rfam family "Bacterial small subunit ribosomal RNA", at positions 330 to 745 of the family's 1533-position model. The record is from RNAcentral.
CCCAGACUCCUACGGGAGGCAGCAGUGAGGAAUAUUGGUCAAUGGGCUUACGCCUGAACCAGCCAAGUCGCGUUAGGGAUGACGGCCCUAUGGGUUGUAAACCUCUUUUGCCGGGGAGCAAAGUGCCGCACGUGUGCGGUUUGGAGAGUACCCGGAGAAAAAGCAUCGGCUAACUCCGUGCCAGCAGCCGCGGUAAUACGGAGGAUGCGCGCGUUAUCCGGAUUUAUUGGGUUUAAAGGGUGCGUAGGCGGACGCUUAAGUCAGCGGUAAAAUUGCGGGGCUCAACCCCGUACUGCCGUUGAAACUGCAUCCCUUGAGUGCGCGAGAAGUAUGCGGAAUGCGUGGUGUAGCGGUGAAAUGCAUAGAUAUCACGCAGAACUCCGAUUGCGAAGGCAGCAUACCGGCGCGCAACUGACG